UACGGAGGGUGCAAGCGUUAUCCGGAUUUACUGGGUUUAAAGGGUGCGUAGGUGGAUAAGUAAGUCAGUGGUGAAAUCUCCGGGCUUAACCCGGAAACUGCCAUUGAUACUAUUUGUCUUGAAUACUUUGGAGGUAAGCGGAAUAUGUCAUGUAGCGGUGAAAUGCUUAGAUAUGACAUAGAACACCAAUUGCGAAGGCAGCUUACUACACAGUGAUUGACACUGAGGCACGAAAGCGUGGGGAGCGAACAG
This 252-nucleotide ribosomal RNA is filed under the name uncultured bacterium. RNAcentral describes it as "partial 16S ribosomal RNA". It matches the Rfam family "Bacterial small subunit ribosomal RNA", at positions 524 to 775 of the family's 1533-position model. The record is from RNAcentral.